RNAcentral lists this ribosomal RNA (260 nucleotides) under uncultured prokaryote. RNAcentral describes it as "partial 16S ribosomal RNA". It matches the Rfam family "Bacterial small subunit ribosomal RNA", at positions 524 to 784 of the family's 1533-position model. The record is from RNAcentral.
CACGUAGGGGCGAGCGUUGUCCGGAAUUACUGGGCGUAAAGGGCGCGCAGGCUGUUAUGCGAGUCUGCUGUGAAAUGUACCGGCUCAACCGGUGCCUUGCGGCGGAUACUGCAUAGCUGGAGUACUGGAGAGGGAAGUGGAAUUCCCGGUGUAGCGGUGGAAUGCGCAGAUAUCAGGAGGAACACCGGUGGCGAAGGCGGUUCUCUGGGCAUUACCUGACGCUGAGGUGCGAAAGCUAGGGGAGCGAACGGGAUUAGAUA